Molecule: long non-coding RNA, 688 nt
Organism: Aquila chrysaetos chrysaetos
Lineage: Eukaryota; Metazoa; Chordata; Aves; Accipitriformes; Accipitridae
Exons: 3
Source: RefSeq, a predicted model, not a curated record
UGAAACCAGCCUUUUUGUUAUAUAAUAACCUGGGGCUGCUAUAAAUACCGCUGUGCUGAAAGCCAGAGCAUCGGUGUGGAAGGACUGAUUCUCGGUGACUUUUCCCUGAGCAAUAAGGAAUGGAAAGAAACAGUGCUAUGAAAUCGGACUGAGAUGGGACUCAGCUAAACCUGGAUUCAGCUAAACCCAGAAUUCUCCGCGGAGGGUCUGCAGCGGCCAGAGAAAAGUCCCUGGCCCCUUCACCAGAAGCAUCCAGGAUCCAGGUGGCAACAGACACGGGCACGUAGGUGGAGCUGGAAACCCUCCACGGGUGAAACAGCCCCGCUACCUGUGUGCGUGGGUGACUUGAGUGUGGUGUCGUUUUGCAGGGGUUGCGUGCCAGGCCGGCGAUGGAGAGCCUGCCAAGAUAAAUGGCCACGCUUCCUACAAAGAAAAAAAUCUCUUCUGAGUGGCCAAGCAGAAGGUAGACUUGCUCCAGGGCAGAUCUUGCUUUUGCAGAAGUGUUUUGGGGAGGAGAAAGUAAAAAUGACAGAGCGGGCUUUGUGAGAUGCUGCAGGCACCCCGUCCAAAAAUGUGGGGGCCGGGGAUGGCAUCCUGGAUCUGCUCCAAAAUGCAGCUUUACUAUUGAAAGGAAAUAUAUAUACACACACAUAUGUGGGCAUAUAUAUUAUGUGUGUCUAUGUGUAUA